RNAcentral lists this transfer RNA (73 nucleotides) under Bos taurus (domestic cattle). It matches the Rfam family "tRNA". From Rfam's summary of the family: Transfer RNA (tRNA) molecules are approximately 80 nucleotides in length. Their secondary structure includes four short double-helical elements and three loops (D, anti-codon, and T loops). Further hydrogen bonds mediate the characteristic L-shaped molecular structure. tRNAs have two regions of fundamental functional importance: the anti-codon, which is responsible for specific mRNA codon recognition, and the 3' end, to which the tRNAs corresponding amino acid is attached (by aminoacyl-tRNA synthetases). tRNAs cope with the degeneracy of the genetic code in two manners: having more than one tRNA (with a specific anti-codon) for a particular amino acid; and 'wobble' base-pairing, i.e. permitting non-standard base-pairing at the 3rd anti-codon position. RNAcentral also lists the same sequence under 1 other name. Lineage: Eukaryota; Metazoa; Chordata; Mammalia; Artiodactyla; Bovidae. The record is from Rfam by way of RNAcentral.
UCCCUGGUGGUCUAGUGGUUAAGACUGCAAGCUACAACUGCAGGGGGCACAGGUUCAAUCCCUGCUCAGGGAA